UACGGAAGGGGCAAGCGUUGUUCGGAUUCAUUGGGCGUAAAGGGUGUGUAGGUGGCGCGCUAAGUCGGGUGUGAAAUUUCGGAGCUUAACUCCGAAACUGCAUUCGAUACUGGCGUGCUUGAGGACUGGAGAGGAGACUGGAAUUCAUGGUGUAGCAGUGAAAUGCGUAGAGAUCAUGAGGAAGACCAGUGGCGAAGGCGGGUCUCUGGACAGUUCCUGACACUGAGACACGAAGGCCAGGGGAGCAAACGGG
Molecule: ribosomal RNA, 253 nt
Filed under: uncultured bacterium
Lineage: Bacteria
Description: partial 16S ribosomal RNA
Rfam family: Bacterial small subunit ribosomal RNA
Source: RNAcentral